This 249-nucleotide ribosomal RNA is filed under the name uncultured Eubacteriales bacterium. Its description in RNAcentral is "uncultured Clostridiales bacterium partial 16S ribosomal RNA". It matches the Rfam family "Bacterial small subunit ribosomal RNA", at positions 90 to 339 of the family's 1533-position model. The record is from RNAcentral. Lineage: Bacteria; Bacillati; Bacillota; Clostridia; Eubacteriales.
ACUGAGUGGCGGACGGGUGAGUAACGCGUGGGUAACCUGCCUUAUACAGGGGGAUAACAGUUGGAAACGACUGCUAAUACCGCAUAAGCGCACGGUAUCGCAUGAUACAGUGUGAAAAACUCCGGUGGUAUGAGAUGGACCCGCGUUGGAUUAGCUGGUUGGUGAGGUAACGGCCCACCAAGGCGACGAUCCAUAGCCGGCCUGAGAGGGUGAACGGCCACAUUGGGACUGAGACACGGCCCAGACUCC